This 301-nucleotide ribosomal RNA is filed under the name uncultured bacterium. Its description in RNAcentral is "partial 16S ribosomal RNA". It matches the Rfam family "Bacterial small subunit ribosomal RNA", at positions 509 to 807 of the family's 1533-position model. The record is from RNAcentral.
CAGUCGCCGCGGUAAUACGGAGGGGGCUAGCGUUGUUCGGAAUUACUGGGCGUAAAGCGCACGUAGGCGGCUUGGUAAGUUAGAGGUGAAGGCCUGGAGCUCAACUCCAGAAUUGCCUUUAAGACUGCCGAGCUAGCAGGUGAGAGAGGUAAGUGGAAUUCCGAGUGUAGAGGUGAAAUUCGUAGAUAUUCGGAAGAACACCAGUGGCGAAGGCGGCUUACUGGCUCAUACUGGACGCUGAGGUGCGAAAGCGUGGGGAGCAAACAGGAUUAGAUACCCGCGUAGUCCCUGUCUCUUAUAC